RNAcentral lists this ribosomal RNA (481 nucleotides) under Archarius pyrrhoceras. Its description in RNAcentral is "partial 16S ribosomal RNA". Lineage: Eukaryota; Metazoa; Arthropoda; Insecta; Coleoptera; Curculionidae. The record is from RNAcentral.
CUUUUUGAUUAUAAUUUAAGGUCUAACCUGCCCAAUGAUGAGGAAGUUAAAUGGCCGCGGUAUUUUGACCGUGCAAAGGUAGCAUAAUCAUUAGUUUUUUAAUUGAAAGCUUGUAUGAAAGGUUGAAUGAGAAAAUAACUGUCUCUGAUUAAAUUUUUUAGAAUUUUAUUUUUAAGUUAAAAAGCUUAAAUUUGUAUGGAAGACGAGAAGACCCUAUAGAGUUUUAUAGUUUUUAUAAUAUAGAAAUUUUAGUAUUUAUACUUUUUUUAUAAUAAAAUUUAUUUGAUUGGGGUGAUUGAAAAAUUUAUUGAACUUUUUUUUUAUUAUAUCAUUGAUUUAUGAUUAAAUGAUCCUUAAAUAAAGAUUAAAAGAUUAAAUUACCUUAGGGAUAACAGCGUAAUUUUUUUUUAGAGUUCUAAUCGAAAAAAAAGGUUGCGACCUCGAUGUUGGAUUAAAAUUAAUUUUUGGUGUAGGGGCUAAA